ACCCGCCGUCGUUCAAGGUCUAGAGCGCCAA
Molecule: non-coding RNA, 31 nt
Filed under: Homo sapiens (human)
Lineage: Eukaryota; Metazoa; Chordata; Mammalia; Primates; Hominidae
Source: RNAcentral